GGUUAAGCGACUAAGCGUACACGGUGGAUGCCCUGGCAGUCAGAGGCGAUGAAGGACGUGCUAAUCUGCGAUAAGCGUCGGUAAGGUGAUAUGAACCGUUAUAACCGGCGAUUUCCGAAUGGGGAAACCCAGUGUGUUUCGACACACUAUCAUUAACUGAAUCCAUAGGUUAAUGAGGCGAACCGGGGGAACUGAAACAUCUAAGUACCCCGAGGAAAAGAAAUCAACCGAGAUUCCCCCAGUAGCGGCGAGCGAACGGGGAGCAGCCCAGAGCCUGAAUCAGUGUGUGUGUUAGUGGAAGCGUCUGGAAAGGCGCGCGAUACAGGGUGACAGCCCCGUACACAAAAAUGCACAUGCUGUGAGCUCGAUGAGUAGGGCGGGACACGUGGUAUCCUGUCUGAAUAUGGGGGGACCAUCCUCCAAGGCUAAAUACUCCUGACUGACCGAUAGUGAACCAGUACCGUGAGGGAAAGGCGAAAAGAACCCCGGCGAGGGGAGUGAAAAAGAACCUGAAACCGUGUACGUACAAGCAGUGGGAGCACGCUUCGGCGUGUGACUGCGUACCUUUUGUAUAAUGGGUCAGCGACUUAUAUUCUGUAGCAAGGUUAACCGAAUAGGGGAGCCGAAGGGAAACCGAGUCUUAACUGGGCGUUAAGUUGCAGGGUAUAGACCCGAAACCCGGUGAUCUAGCCAUGGGCAGGUUGAAGGUUGGGUAACACUAACUGGAGGACCGAACCGACUAAUGUUGAAAAAUUAGCGGAUGACUUGUGGCUGGGGGUGAAAGGCCAAUCAAACCGGGAGAUAGCUGGUUCUCCCCGAAAGCUAUUUAGGUAGCGCCUCGUGAAUUCAUCUCCGGGGGUAGAGCACUGUUUCGGCAAGGGGGUCAUCCCGACUUACCAACCCGAUGCAAACUGCGAAUACCGGAGAAUGUUAUCACGGGAGACACACGGCGGGUGCUAACGUCCGUCGUGAAGAGGGAAACAACCCAGACCGCCAGCUAAGGUCCCAAAGUCAUGGUUAAGUGGGAAACGAUGUGGGAAGGCCCAGACAGCCAGGAUGUUGGCUUAGAAGCAGCCAUCAUUUAAAGAAAGCGUAAUAGCUCACUGGUCGAGUCGGCCUGCGCGGAAGAUGUAACGGGGCUAAACCAUGCACCGAAGCUGCGGCAGCGACGCUGAUGCGUUGUUGGGUA
This 1189-nucleotide ribosomal RNA is filed under the name Escherichia coli. Its description in RNAcentral is "partial 23S ribosomal RNA". It matches the Rfam family "Bacterial large subunit ribosomal RNA", at positions 1 to 1230 of the family's 2925-position model. Lineage: Bacteria; Pseudomonadati; Pseudomonadota; Gammaproteobacteria; Enterobacterales; Enterobacteriaceae. The record is from RNAcentral.